UGCGCGUUAGGCCGAGGAGAGCGAGCCAUUGGGUGAACCCUAGCCGCCACUCUCCCUCUCCCCUUCUCUGCCCGUGCUCUCCUCUCUUCCUCGCUUGCCCUCGCGCCGUCACCCGCCGGGAAGCGCCGCAGCCGCUGCUCCUCAGUCCGCACACGCGUCGCACUAGGGUUUCUAGCUCCAAGCGCCUGAGAAUCGGCUCGAGGUUGGCUUCGCGUCAGCGGUGAGAAGGGGCCGGCGGCCACCGCGGGAGGAGCAGGAGGAAGAUGGGAUGCCGUCCGUUGAGGCGUGUCGCGGCCCUUCUCCGCGCCGGCGAUGCGUGCAGCAAAGAAUGGAAGGCGUGCGUUCUGUCGGCAUCUGAUCCAGAUGACCUCAUGCCGCCGCGCCCGUCCUCCUUCCCCGUUGCCCCUCCUCUCGAGCCACCGGCUGGCGCUCUCUCUUCGCCGGAAGAGCCUCCCCCUCCUCCGGAAGCUAUUUGUGGCCCACUUGUUCGGAGAUGGACACAUCGCAGCGGAGGAAGAACUCACCGGCUCGAUCGAGGAGCGGCGGGGGUAGAAGUGCAAGGCGAGGAGCGCUUGAUGCGAAGCGCUCAUAACAGCCACGCGCGUCCGCCUUUACUGGCGAGCGCAUCAAGUUCCCAACCGGACACUAGGUUUUGAAUCUUAAAUGAUGGCUGCUUGAUAAUUUGUCCAAGUUGAGAUCCACCACUGACGACAUGAGUUUGCUACCGUGCUCCUGUUAAGGUAGCGGAAGGCCUGCACCUCCCAGUCUCCCACCGUUCCAAUUUUUUCGGUUGAAUCAAGUGUCAAUUAAUGAGAUGAAUGUGUUGUUCAUGCUCUUUGAGAAGGCCAGCAGCUCCAGACGACGGUGAACUCAUCCAACUGAUUUUGUAGGAUACACGCUGAAUGUACCGCUCGCCUGUCACUCCUUCGCUAGGAGGGGCGCAACAUGCUACUCGCUCCGAUGCUCCAGCUUUUUCUUGAAUCGGCCUGUUGUCAUGCGUCCGUCCAUGGCCAGGUUGAAGCGGCGAUGGCGGUUGUAGCGUGACGGACGGCAUCAGCAACAAGCAGUUACUCAUCUUUGCAUCAGCAACAGAUAGAUUAUGGAAUUGUUUCAAUCUGGAUAUUUUGCUUGGAAAAAAUUGUCACGUACACUACCAGAAGGGUGAGAGUGAAUUUCAAUAGGCUUAUGACAAAGGAAUGCCCAAAUCAAAGUUCUGGGAGCCUGCAUAUGAAGAUUGCUAAAAUAUGAUUGCUGUACCGCAGGAGACGAACAUGUCGUCUUAGGCUCGUACGUUGUUGGUCGCCGGCUUGGCCUGCAAGAGGAUGCCCCCCUGCUCUGACUUGCUCACAUCUCAGUGUUUCACCAAUGAAGAUGUAUUUUCAAGCAAAGAACAAGAGUCAUCGAUGCAGUGAGGAUGAUUGUCGCGUCCGCUGGCUGAGGGGCAAGCUGGGGCUGUAGUCCCUGAACAUAGUGGUUCUACUGUGAAGGCCUUGCGUUGGGACUCCGUGCCUCCUAAACUAAGAACAAAUGAACUUGCCUUUAGGCUUUUCGCACUGCACCGUGCAUCCAGGUCCAACCCAAUGGUUAGGACGGCGGUUCUUGCAUAGCAUACAUGGAGAUGGUACAUGUGGGGAAGAAAUAUAAGAAACUCAUGCUCAUCAGCGAGGGCAGGGGUCAUAUAGUCAUCAAGGACAGCCUCAGUGUCUUCCACUCCAUCACCUUCUGCUCGGCCACUUUCGGCAAAGCAGACUAUCUACAACCUCUUCUUUUUGAAGCCCUCGGCCCCUCACCACCUGUUGAAGUUGAGGGCAGCAGCUCGCACUGUGAGGGGCUUCGGCGCAGUGGCGGCUCCAGGAAAUGAAGGUUGGGUAUUCACCCAAUUUUUUUUUUUUGCUCUAAACAUAGUAUAUGAACCAAACAACAGACCACAAGCAAUAUAUGAACAAAACAACACUAGGAUAAAGGCAGUAGCAAUAUUUCAAUGUAUCAGACCAUAACAACAUGAAUACAUAAGUACCUUUUGAUUGAUAAAGUGAUGAUAUCCUUCUUACAAUAUAACUUUGCGGUCGCCUUUCUGGAAUAGAUUGAUGACAUCUUCAUCCUUCACUUGAUUGAAAAAUUCUCUCUCAACAAAUGUAACCAAACAAUUGUUCAAAUAUUCAUCACCCAUUUUGUUCCUUAGCUUAUUCUUCACAUAGCUCAUUGAAGAGAAUACCCUUUCAACACUAGCAGUAGCUACUAGGAGAAUCAAUACCAACUUAAGAAGCUUGUAAACAAUAUGAUAUAGUUCAUGCUUGUUUGUCUCAACAAGCAUAACUGAAAGCUGACACAGAUUUUUCAGGUUUUGAAACCUUUCAUCUCUACGCACAUUAGUAACAUACAUGUUUAGUUGCCAUGGAAGUCUUGCCAGUUCAUCACUUGUAAAAUCGGAAGCAUAAAACUUUGUAGCAAGCCUAACCAACUUCUCUUGGUCAUAAGCAGCAAAUAGAUGAAGUGGACAAAAUGCUGCCAUGCAAGAAAGUAGCUCCGUGUUUACCUCAUCAAACCUGCUAUUCAGCUCAUUGAUUUGCCUAUCAAUGACACCCACAAACAUAUCAACCUUGAAGCGGUGGUAAUUGGUCACACCAUUACAUAAACCCGUUCUAGGACGACCAACGGGAAAGUAAGGACCCUCCAUACCAACAACUUUGAUCUUAUGCUUUGUACAAAAAGAUGUGACCUUUGUGAGAAAAUCAUCCCAUCCAACAUCGGUCCUCAAAGCCUCCAAGUAAUACUUUGUGUCACUAACAAGCUCAAUAGCAUGAACAAUAUCUUCGUCUUGCUUUUGCAAAGCUCUACACAACUCAUCUGUGUAUCCAAAUAUUUCUUGCAUCAAGUGUGCCAUGAAAACAAACUCAAAUGAUCGAAAUAUUGUCUCUAUGGAUAGAGCUGCUUGUGCCUCCGCACCAUGGUACUCGUCUCCAAUCUUGCGAAGGACUCGUCGUAGUGCACCAUACAUAGAGAUGACAUGGUUCACAGUUUUGAAGUGAGAUCCCCAACGUGUAUCACAUGGCCUUCCCAAACCCAUUUCCUGAUUCAGCCCAGUCCCCAUUUCUACUUCUUCCAAUUCCAGUGCAUCAAUGAGUUCUUCAGCCCGAGCUAUCCGAAGCAUUCUCAUUUUUCUAGAAGACAUGCCAAGAGCAUUUAGCAAGUGUGCAAGCUGCUGAAAGAACCAAGUACAACCACCACUCUCCUUAGCAACAGCAACAAGAGUUAACUGUAAUUGAUGGGCAAAACAAUGAACAUAGUAGGCAGAAGGGGACUCAUCCAUAAUCAGUUUUUUCAGGCCAUUAACAUUACCUCUCAUAUUACUAGCUCCAUCAUAUCCUUGCCCACGAACCAUUGCAAAGGUCAAAUUGUAGUCCAUAAGCAUUUUCUGAAUUGCAGCUUUUAGUGUCAAAGAGGUGGUAUCUUCAACAUGAGCAAGACCAAGAAAUCUUACAACCGCCCUUCCUUUCUUAUCAACAUAACGCAAGCAAACAGCCAACUGUUCAUUCUGAUACACAUCACUAGACUCAUCUGCAAGUAUUGCAAAAUGACCACCAUCAAGUUCUUCAAUGACUAGUUUAGUAGUCUCUUGUGCACAACAUUUUAUCACCUCUUGUUGUAUAUCAUGGUGAGUCAUCUUGCUGUUCUGUGGAGCAUUCUUGAGAACAACCCUGUCAACCUCUUCAAAAUUUCCUGCUAGCCAAUUUAGAAGCUCAAGGAAAUUUCCUUUAUUUAGCGAGUCUUCACUUUCAUCAUGCCCCCUAAAUGCCAAGCCUUGGCUUAAUAGAAAUCUCACACACUUGAGUGUCCAUGUCAAACGCUGUUUAUACAAAGCCUUGUAUUGUGAGGUGUUUGAAGCAAUAGACUCCCUAAUUGAUGUUGUAGGUGUAGUGAACAUAUCAUAUUUUUCUUGAGCUUCAGCGUGAGCACUACUAACAGCUCCAAUAUGCCUCUUCAAUCUUGCUUUCAUGUUCCAAUUAUUAAAUCCACCAUUCACAAAUGCAUCUCCUCCGGGACUUUUUGUUUUAUCCUUGAACAAGUAGCAAACAAAGCAAAAAGCAGCCUCUUUUUCCACGCUGUACUCAAGCCACUUAUGAUCUUUAAGCCAAGUAGGGGAAAAGCGACGAGAAUGUCCACUAAAAUCUCUGAUUUCAAACUUAUGAUCAUUUGGUUGACAAGCUCCCAAGUCAAUGUAUCUCCUUCUAACUCUAUCCUGGUCAUUGACAUGAUAUGAAGAUAUAGGAAGUCGCUUGCCGGGAUCACGUUCCAGAGCAGCCAAAUCUGCUUCAAAUUGGGGCAUUGAUUCGUCAUCUUCAUCAACCGCUUCAUCAUCUACAAUUGGGGUUGGGGAGCCUCUCUCCCUCUCCGGUUGCGGAGCUUCAUCAUGUGUGUGCACUAAUGCUAGUUGCAGAUUGCUCUCAACCUCAACGGAAAGAGAAGUUGGUGUGGAUGUAGAAGUUAUUUUUCUUGCCUUCGAAGAUUUGUCCCACAAUUCAAACAAGCUAACAUUCUUCUUCUUCAUCUACAUCACAUUAUCACAAACAAGAGAAGUAGUUCAGUGUCCAUGUAGCAAUCAUUUGUGGUCCAUCUAGCAAUCAUUUGAUAGUUCAGUUUCAAUUUACAAGCAAUUAGUGAAAAAACUUCAGAUUUGUUUGAGAACAGAGGGAAAGAAUACCUAGUAGAUGGAUGGAUCUGCAGACAUCAGACUGGAUGGAGGCCGUGGAGGGCGCUGUCGCGCCGUGGACGCUGGAUGCGGUCUGCCUGUGCAGUGGAUGUGCCUGUCCCGUUGUCCGCCGGCUGGCGCUUGCUGCCUGGCGGAGCCGCGGAGGAGAGGGCCAGAGGCCGAGCCGCCGAGGGGCGAG
Molecule: long non-coding RNA, 4889 nt
Organism: Triticum dicoccoides
Lineage: Eukaryota; Viridiplantae; Streptophyta; Magnoliopsida; Poales; Poaceae
Exons: 13
Source: RefSeq, a predicted model, not a curated record